This 595-nucleotide ribosomal RNA is filed under the name Yarrowia lipolytica. RNAcentral's name for it is "eukaryotic LSU rRNA". It matches the Rfam family "Eukaryotic large subunit ribosomal RNA", at positions 24 to 700 of the family's 3401-position model. The record is from RNAcentral. Lineage: Eukaryota; Fungi; Ascomycota; Dipodascomycetes; Dipodascales.
CCCGCUGAACUUAAGCAUAUCANUAAGCGGAGGAAAAGAAACCAACAGGGAUUGCCUCAGUAACGGCGAGUGAAGCGGCAAAAGCUCAAAUUUGAAACCCUCGGGAUUGUAAUUUGAAGAUUUGGCCAUUGGAGAAAGCUAACCCAAGUUGCUUGGAAUAGUACGUCAUAGAGGGUGACAACCCCGUCUGGCUAACCGUUCUCCAUGUAUUGCCUUAUCAAAGAGUCGAGUUGUUUGGGAAUGCAGCUCAAAGUGGGUGGUAAACUCCAUCUAAAGCUAAAUACUGGUGAGAGACCGAUAGCGAACAAGUACUGUGAAGGAAAGGUGAAAAGAACUUUGAAAAGAGAGUGAAAUAGUAUGUGAAAUUGUUGAUAGGGAAGGAAAUGAGUGGAGAGUGGCCGAGGUUUCAGCCGCCCCUCGUGGGCGGUGUACUGCCGACGCCGAGUCAUCGAUAGCGAGACGAGGGUUACAAAUGGGAGCGCCUUCGGGCGUUCUCCCCUAACCCUCCACACUGCCACCGACGACAUAAUCCACCCAUUUCACCCGUCUUGAAACACGGACCAAGGAGUCUAAUGGAUAUGCGAGUGUUUGGGUG